This 357-nucleotide small RNA is filed under the name Arabidopsis thaliana (thale cress). RNAcentral's name for it is "ATSL090830". The record is from RNAcentral. Lineage: Eukaryota; Viridiplantae; Streptophyta; Magnoliopsida; Brassicales; Brassicaceae.
GUAAAAGGUCAAGAGACAAAGAUGGUCCCAUACAGAAUAGGCUUCAAUAACAGGGGAUCUCUCAAAAAAUGAUUAAGCUUUAGUAGAAUGUUAAAGGUAAGUCCCAAGCUAUGCAUACAAAGAUAAGAUCCCAUCUACCCAGAGUAUAUCUGAUGAAGCUCUAAUGGUAAUCCCAUCUCCAAUCUUAAUAUAAGAACUUAAUUCUACCCUUUGCAUUCAUGAAUCUUUUAAGCCCUUUUUCUAAUCAUUCUUUUCUUUUCUCUUAACUUUAGGAGAAGGUUUCUCAACACUUUGAUACAUCUAGCGGAUUUGGAUUUCUUUAACAACUAAGGUUCCUGUUUUUAACAUUUUAAAACC